CCUACGGGAGGCAGCAGUGAGGAAUAUUGGUCAAUGGACGAGAGCCUGAACCAGCCAAGUAGCGUGAAGGAUGACAGCCCUAUGGGUUGUAAACUUCUUUUAUAUGGGAAUAAAAUGUCCCACGUGUGGGGUUUUGUAUGUACCAUAUGAAUAAGGAUCGGCUAAUUCCGUGCCAGCAGCCGCGGUAAUACGGAGUAUGCGAGCGUUAUCCGGAUUUAUUGGGGUUAAAGGGGGCGUAGGUGGGUUUUUAAGUCAGUUGUGAAAGUUUGCGGCUCAACCGUAACAGUGCAGUUGAAACUGGCAGUCUUGAGUACGGUAAGGGUAGACGGAAUUCGUGGUGUAGCGGUGAAAUGCUUAGAUAUCACGAAGAACUCCGAUUGCGAAGGCAGCUCACUGGACUGCGACUGACACUGAGGCUCGAAAGUGUGGGUAUCAAACAGGAUUAGAUACCCCUGUAGUC
Molecule: ribosomal RNA, 460 nt
Filed under: uncultured bacterium
Lineage: Bacteria
Description: partial 16S ribosomal RNA
Rfam family: Bacterial small subunit ribosomal RNA
Source: RNAcentral